RNAcentral lists this transfer RNA (73 nucleotides) under Mesocricetus auratus (golden hamster). It matches the Rfam family "tRNA". From Rfam's summary of the family: Transfer RNA (tRNA) molecules are approximately 80 nucleotides in length. Their secondary structure includes four short double-helical elements and three loops (D, anti-codon, and T loops). The record is from Rfam by way of RNAcentral. Lineage: Eukaryota; Metazoa; Chordata; Mammalia; Rodentia; Cricetidae.
GGGGAGAUUGCUCAGCAGUUAAGAGCAUUAGCCACUCUUCCAGAGGACCUGGGUUCAAUUCCCAGCACCCCCA